AUUGAACGCUGGCGGCAUGCCUUACACAUGCAAGUCGAACGGUAACAGCACUUCGGUGGCUGACGAGUGGCGAACGGGUGAGUAAUACAUCGGAACGUGCCCGAGAGUGGGGGAUAACGCAGCGAAAGCUGUGCUAAUACCGCAUACGAUCUACGGAUGAAAGCAGGGGAUUCGCAAGGACCUUGCGCUCAUGGAGCGGCCGAUGGCAGAUUAGGUAGUUGGUGGGAUAAAAGCUUACCAAGCCGACGAUCUGUAGCUGGUCUGAGAGGACGACCAGCCACACUGGGACUGAGACACGGCCCAGACUCCUACGGGAGGCAGCAGUGGGGAAUUUUGGACAAUGGGCGAAAGCCUGAUCCAGCCAUGCCGCGUGCAGGAUGAAGGCC
RNAcentral lists this ribosomal RNA (386 nucleotides) under uncultured bacterium. RNAcentral describes it as "bacterial SSU rRNA". It matches the Rfam family "Bacterial small subunit ribosomal RNA", at positions 30 to 416 of the family's 1533-position model. The record is from RNAcentral.